GACGAACGCUGGCGGCGUGCCUAAUACAUGCAAGAAGAACGCUGAAGAGAGGAGCUUACUCUUCUUGGAUGAGUUGCGAACGGGUGAGUAACGCGUAGGUAACCUGCCUUGUAGCGGGGGAUAACUAUUGGAAACGAUAGCUACUACCGCAUAACAAUGGAUGACACAUGUCAUUUAUUUGAAAGGGGCAAUUGCUCCACUACAAGAUGGACCUGCGUUGUAUUAGCUAGUAGGUGAGGUAAUGGCUCACCUAGGCGACGAUACAUAGCCGACCUGAGAGGGUGAUCGGCCACACUGGGACUGAGACACGGCCCAGACUCCUACGGGAGGCAGCAGUAGGGAAUCUUCGGCAAUGGGGGCAAACCUGACCGAGCAACGCCGCGUGAGUGAAGAAGGUUUUCGGAUCGUAAAGCUCUGUUGUAAGUCAAGAACGGGUGUGAGAGUGGAAAGUUCACACUGUGACGGUAGCUUACCAGAAAGGGACGGCUAACUACGUG
RNAcentral lists this ribosomal RNA (497 nucleotides) under uncultured bacterium. RNAcentral describes it as "partial 16S ribosomal RNA". It matches the Rfam family "Bacterial small subunit ribosomal RNA", at positions 28 to 507 of the family's 1533-position model. The record is from RNAcentral.